This 297-nucleotide ribosomal RNA is filed under the name uncultured Microvirga sp. RNAcentral describes it as "partial 16S ribosomal RNA". It matches the Rfam family "Bacterial small subunit ribosomal RNA", at positions 31 to 358 of the family's 1533-position model. The record is from RNAcentral. Lineage: Bacteria; Pseudomonadati; Pseudomonadota; Alphaproteobacteria; Hyphomicrobiales; Methylobacteriaceae.
GAAUGCNGGCGGCUGGUUCAUACAUGGAAGUAGNAAGCAUCCUUCGGGGUGAGUGGCAGACGGGUGAGAAUGUUUGCGAACGUGCCCUUGAGAUCGGAAUAACCCAGGGAAACUUGGGCUAAUACCGGAUACGUGCGAGAGCAGAAAGAUUUAUCGCUGAAGGAUCGGCCCGCGUCUGAUUAGCUGGUUGGUGAGGUAAUGGCUCACCAAGGCGACGAUCAGUAGCUGGUCUGAGAGGAUGAUCAGCCACAUUGGGACUGAGACACGGCCCAAACUCCUACGGGAGGCAGCAGUGGG